Triticum dicoccoides is the source of this 580-nucleotide long non-coding RNA. RefSeq lists it as uncharacterized. The transcript is spliced from 3 exons. Lineage: Eukaryota; Viridiplantae; Streptophyta; Magnoliopsida; Poales; Poaceae. The record is from RefSeq and is a predicted model, not a curated record.
GUAUAUUAUUAUUCACCUUUAUUGAUUUUGUGAGGUAUGUAUAGUUUUUAUAUAUAUAUGCACAGUUGAUUUUUAUCCACGGUAUUACACAGGGCCAGAACAAGCUGGGCCAGGCCCAGCACAAGUGCAUCAUAGGCGACGGCCCACCUCCCCACGCGACAGUACACCUCCCCCGCGCGACGGCCCACCUCCCCAGCGCGACGGCACACCUCUCCCACCUCCCGCAUAACUCGUGGCCACCUACCCCGCCCCAUUCACCUUAUCCUUUCACUGCUCACUCCACUCACUUCAUCUGCCCCUUUCCCCUCCGCCGCCGCAUCGCCGCGCGCGUCGACGAACUGUCGGCCGCGCUCCUCCGCGCGCGUCGACGAGCUGCCGGCCGCGCUCCUCCGCCCCUUCAUCGUCUACCACUCCGCCGUCUUCGGCAACUUCAAGGGCCGCACCGUCCUGUUCGACUGCGACAUCCACCCGGCCUACUCCGGCAUGGCGGCGCUGCCCUACUCUGACGAGAUCGACCCCUCCACCAUCGACGUCCUCCUCGUCACCCACUUCCACUUGGAUCUUGUUGGGGGAACCCAAC